CCGAGUUUACAACUCCCAAACCCAAUGUGAACGUUACCAAACUGUUGCCUCGGCGGGGUCACGCCCCGGGUGCGUAAAAGCCCCGGAACCAGGCGCCCGCCGGAGGAACCGACCAAACUCUUUCUGUAGUCCCCUCGCGGACGUAUUUCUUACAGCUCUGAGCAAAAAUUCAAAAUGAAUCA
RNAcentral lists this unclassified non-coding RNA (182 nucleotides) under soil metagenome. RNAcentral describes it as "partial internal transcribed spacer 1". The record is from RNAcentral.